CCUUUUGCAUUUCACGCGGACUGCACAGAGAUGAAGCGACACGACCUUGAAAAGGAAACAACUUUGUCUUGAGGAACCUAUAUGGCAGAGAUUAUUGGUGGAAGUUGGCACUUAAUCACCAAGAAUAUGAGUGAGCAAGGAAUCGGCCCCAUAGGCAGAGGCGAUGAUGACUUGAGACAAGAUUCCUCUCAACUGCGUGAAAAUUCCCGGUCAAACACUCAAUUUCUCCCGGCUAGUCCUGUUUCUUUUUAUCAGAAAUAACAACCAAACCCCAACCCAAUAUAAAAAAGGGAAACAAAGAAAGAAAAACGAACCCCAUCGAAGGGAGAGCUGGCCCUAUCAAAAGAGGUUGGUUGCUGCCUAGGCCCACCACUCAAAAAAUGUCUUAACUUGUGCAAUAAGAAGAUAACAGUGAUGAGGAACAACAAAGCUUUUCCCUCUCCCAUCCAAAUAGUUGGAAGCAGAGAGGAGGGAGAAGGUGGCAAGUAGUAGGCGAAACUCAAAAUGGAAAUGGAGCAAAAAAGGAAAAAAUUUCCAAUGUUUAUAGGCACAUCCAC
Molecule: long non-coding RNA, 557 nt
Filed under: Gossypium raimondii (Peruvian cotton)
Lineage: Eukaryota; Viridiplantae; Streptophyta; Magnoliopsida; Malvales; Malvaceae
Description: long non-coding RNA (GRAI_LNC010390)
Source: RNAcentral